Long non-coding RNA from Aricia agestis (brown argus), 307 nucleotides. RefSeq lists it as uncharacterized. The record is from RefSeq and is a predicted model, not a curated record. The transcript has 3 exons. Lineage: Eukaryota; Metazoa; Arthropoda; Insecta; Lepidoptera; Lycaenidae.
GCCAGUAAGGGCAUAAUAUGUACAUUAUUUUCUAAAAUGUUUGAGUCAAUAAAAGUAUGUUUUGUAAAUACAGUUUUUUAUUUCAUUUUAAUUAAAGUUAAUUGUACAUUGACAAGUGCACAGCAAAUGAUUAUGCUAUAGUCUACAUUGGGAAUUAGAAAAUUAUCAACACAGGCAUUUGGCUUAAGAAAAGCCAGUUCGCGUAGUCUUCUGAUCACUCUUUCAAUGUAAAUUCGAAGACUUGCAAUCUUCUUUGACCUUAGUACAUCAUCUCUUCAACUUUUCUUAGCCGUAAAAUAAUGAAAAA